AACGAACGCUGGCGGCAUGCCUAACACAUGCAAGUCGAACGAGAUCUUCGGGUCUAGUGGCGCACGGGUGCGUAACGCGUGGGAAUCUGCCCUUUGGUUCGGAAUAACAGUUGGAAACGACUGCUAAUACCGGAUGAUGACGAAAGUCCAAAGAUUUAUCGCCAGAGGAUGAGCCCGCGUAGGAUUAGCUAGUUGGUGUGGUAAAGGCGCACCAAGGCGACGAUCCUUGGCUGGUCUGAGAGGAUGAUCAGCCACACUGGGACUGAGACACGGCCCAGACUCCUACGGGAGGCAGCAGUGGGGAAUAUUGGACAAUGGGCGAAAGCCUGAUCCAGCAAUGCCGCGUGAGUGAUGAGGGCCUUAGGGUUGUAAAGCUCUUUUACCCGGGAUGAUAAUGACAGUACCGGGAGAAUAAGCUCCGGCUAACUCCGUGCCAGCAGCCGCCGUAA
Molecule: ribosomal RNA, 449 nt
Filed under: uncultured bacterium
Lineage: Bacteria
Description: partial 16S ribosomal RNA
Rfam family: Bacterial small subunit ribosomal RNA
Source: RNAcentral